This 680-nucleotide long non-coding RNA is filed under the name Homo sapiens (human). RNAcentral describes it as "HSALNT0153320". Lineage: Eukaryota; Metazoa; Chordata; Mammalia; Primates; Hominidae. The record is from RNAcentral.
CUGGCAGAACGUUAGACAAUAUUUCAACUUAGCAUCUCAUAGGCAGUUAAACAACGGACAAUUGGUAGAAGUGAAAGCCCUACUCCUGGCAAUGGGUCAUUUGAGCUUAGAGCCCUUGGAGGAAGGACCAUGUAACACCAUGGAAGGCAUUUCCCUCAAUAAAUCUCCUUCACUACUAACUCUGUCUUGGCACCUGAACCAACACCGGACCUAACCAACACAGUUUUGAGGAAGGCUGAAGAAGAGUGGGCUGGAGAAGAGGAAAUGAUACCAUGUUCUUUUAAGAAAAAAGAGGAAAAAGCCCACAAGAUGAACACUAUGGUGUAUAACCCUGUCAUGUCUUUUUAGCAAUGAACUUUGGAGCCCUGGAAACAAGUAGCCCUAAGUUACAACACUCAAUUUUAAUCCAGAGAAGCUGUGAAGAGAAAUUCAAAGGAAGGAUCAGGACUAAAGUAGAACUGUAUGCUACAGCCAACCAUACAGUUAUGGAUACAUUUUGGAAGUAGGCCCUCAAGAUUUCAUAACAGCAAUGACAAAUGUGGAAAACAAAAGCAAAGCUAAUUCCAGGAUGUGUCCGGUGAGGAAACUGAAGAUUAUAGCUGUUAUGAAUGUUGUGAAUGCUCAGGGUGUGUGUUAACAAAUGGAAGAGCUAGUAUUUGAAAUUACGUCUGUCUGAAACC